Triticum dicoccoides is the source of this 941-nucleotide long non-coding RNA. RefSeq lists it as uncharacterized. The transcript is spliced from 4 exons. NCBI's taxonomy places the organism in Eukaryota, Viridiplantae, Streptophyta, Magnoliopsida, Poales, Poaceae. The record is from RefSeq and is a predicted model, not a curated record.
CUUGUCAAUAAAUGGUCUGAUGAAAGAAACAAGGUUUGUAACAAGAUAUGCGACCAACAAUAGUUUUUGCAUUCACAUCUACUGUACCAUAUGUAAAUACUUAUAUUCAUUUUUUAUGUAUAAAAUAUGUCAAAUGAAUAAGGAAAACCGAGAAGCUGUCAGGCAACACCAAAAGACGGGAUAUAUGUCCUAUGUUUCCUAUUUCAGCAAACUUAAAAAAGACAAGUACAAUAAUCAUGAUCCAAGUCCCAUUGAGUUUUUCAAAGACACCCAUACAAACAGCAAGACUGAUAGCAUGAGCUGAGUCAGGACUUCUAGCUCAUAAUGCGAUGGAAAAGAAAAGGGAAGCACAAUCAGAAGGUGAGCAGCCAGUAUCCGAUACAUCGAUUGUGGCUGAAGUUCUAAAGGAAGAAAGCGCCCAUAGUACCGUCCUUUCUAGCAUGGGGUAUGCAUCAAGAUCCGGGAGGUCUGGGAGCUCUACUUCAUGAGCCUAGAUCCGAUUUCUAGAAGAAAGAAUUGAAUAGAAGGAUAGAGAGGCAAGAGAUGCAAAUGACAGGCAUCGGGAGGAGUUAGUCGCAAGACUUGAAGCACGAGAGAGAGCAUUUUAAGAGAUACAAAAGAAGCAGCAAGAAGAAUUGGAAGCUUUAAAAAAGAGCCAGCAAGAGAAGACUGAAGCCUGGGCAAAGAAGCAAAAGGAGACGGGACAAUCUGCUUGAUUUUUUGAGGGCUCAAGCAACUCUGCAGUCCCAGUCCCAACCAGAUGGUUCAUGAAUGCCAUCCUUACAUUGCAAUCAUCAGGAUAACAUAUGUGGUCUUUAGUUAAUAUUAGUUUUCAUCUUGUCUAUUGUCUGUGUUAAACUUGAGUCAGCUUUUUACCGCCAUUUUUGUUUACAGAAUGAUUUGGCUGAGACGAUUUCAUACAUAAUAUGAUUUGUCUUUGA